UAGGAGCCAAUCCCUUUGACUGCAUGAGCUUAGAUAUUAACAGCCUCUGAGCAGCUCCGAAGUGUGGGUUCUAAGGCUCUUUGAAUCGGGCUUCUCUUUGGUAGGCAAAGGGUGGUCCUUGAUUGAUGGCAUAUGCCUAAAGGAUAAGGCCGAAGACCUAAGAGAUUUCUCCUCCCCACUUUAUAGAAGGUUAGUGAAGCCAUAGCUUCUAGGAUCAGAACUGCUUUAUAGCUUUCCCUCAUUCUCAGACACUCUGGUAACAUCACACAUGUUAGAAAAUCAGCAUCGCGCAUGCAUUGCACAUGCGUCGUGCAUGCGUCUCUAUGAGCUGGAGCUGCCCUGGUAAUCUAUACAGACUGGGGGUUGAACAGCAGAGACAUACUCUAGAGACAGGCUAGAGUCGAACAUCCAAGUACCGACAGGAUUGGUCUCUCCAGAGGCGUCUCUCCUUAGCUUAUGGAUUGAUUACCUUCUUGUUGGGUCCUCACCCUAGUCUGCUCUCCUCAUAAGGAAGACAGACAGAUUGGAUUAGGGUUCACUCUAAUAACCCUAUUUAAACUUACUCAUCGUGUGUGUGUGUGUGUGUGUGUGUGUGUGUGAUGUGCAUGUUGGGGGUAUGUAUGUCUAUGUGCCGUUAUGUGCAUGUUCCUAUGGAAGUCAGAGGUUCACAUUGAGUGUGUUCCUCUCUGGCUCUCUUCACUUUAUUUCUUGAGACAAGGUUUCUCACUGAACCUAAGUCACGGAUUUGGCUAAACUUGGCAGCAAGUCCCAGAUGUCCUCCUCUCUCUGUCCUCCCCACACUCCCUGGCACUAGUGUUAUAGCUGUUAACUUUCAUGUGUAGUCUUUAGAUGUAUGUUGGGUGUCCACUCAUGCUUGCCCAGCAGCUCGUGCCUUGAGCACGUUAAGCUGCCUCCCUAGUCCUUAUUCACCUCUUUAACUUAUGUGGUGGUCUGAAUAUGCUCGACCCAUAGGGAGUGGUACUGUUAGGAGGUGUGGCCUUGGUGGAGGAAGAGUGUCAUUGUGGGGGUGGGCAUUGGAGGCCUCCUAUACUCAGGCUCCACCCAUUGUAGAAGACAGCUUCCUCUUAGAUGCCUGAGGAUGCCAGCCUCUCCUGGUUGCCUUUGAAUUAGGAUGCAGAACUCUCAGCUCCUUCUCCAGCACCAUGUCUACCUGCACGAUGCCAUGCUUCCUGCUAUGAUGAUAUUGGACUAAACCUCUGAGACUCUAAGCCAGCCCCAAUUAAAUGUUUGUCUUUAUAAGAGUUACUUUGGUCAUGGUGUCUCUUCAUAGCAAUGGAAACCCUAAUGAAGACAAUCUAUCUAUAAACAGUGUCAGACCCUGAGAGAGAGACUGGGUGUUAGAGGUCGGCAUGUGCAUUUGGGAGCAUGAUGGUUAAGCCUCAUCGUCACCCAGGCAGGAUUUAGUGUCACCUAGAGAAAAAUCCUCUAGAUGGAUCUGUGAGGAUGUUUCCAGAGAGUUUUAAGCGAGGACCCAUCCUGGACGUGAGCAGAGCUGUUGCAUGGAGUGAAGUCCUGGGCUGAGAAAAAACAAAAGUAGACAAAGGUGAGAGUGAACAGACAGCAGCAUUCACCUCUCUGUGCUUGGUGACUGCAGG
RNAcentral lists this long non-coding RNA (1616 nucleotides) under Mus musculus (house mouse). Its description in RNAcentral is "long non-coding RNA chr15:31622779-31624395". Lineage: Eukaryota; Metazoa; Chordata; Mammalia; Rodentia; Muridae. The record is from RNAcentral.